RNAcentral lists this long non-coding RNA (322 nucleotides) under Fukomys damarensis (Damara mole-rat). RNAcentral's name for it is "lncRNA (ENSFDAG00000026196.1)". The record is from RNAcentral. Lineage: Eukaryota; Metazoa; Chordata; Mammalia; Rodentia; Bathyergidae.
CUCAGGCAAGAUAAAAUUGCAUCCUAAGUACUGUACUCUCUUUGAGGGGGCUCUUGGCAUGAGUGAGUUCAAAUGGAUUCUGAAACCCUGAGCAAGGAAGAAGUGAUUCUGUGCAUGCUUUGUGAUUGAGGCCCUGCCCUGAACAUAAGCACAAAAGUGUGUGCAGAUGCACAGGAGGCAGAGAUUCAACUCUGGACAGAAAACUCUUGCCCGACAUUCAUCUCAGUAUUAUCUUCCCUUAAACAAAGGAUAGGGAGGUGGAGAAGCCUGGGAUUGGAGCCUCAUACAAAUACAAGGUAAUAGGUUGCUGUCACUUCAUUGG